RNAcentral lists this ribosomal RNA (253 nucleotides) under uncultured bacterium. RNAcentral's name for it is "partial 16S ribosomal RNA". It matches the Rfam family "Bacterial small subunit ribosomal RNA", at positions 524 to 776 of the family's 1533-position model. The record is from RNAcentral.
GACAUAGGUGGCAAACGUUAUCCGGAAUUAUUGGGCGUAAAGGGUGCGUAGAUGGUAAGGUAAGUUAGCAGUGAAAGCGAGGCUCAACCUCGUGGAAGCUGCUAAUACUGCUUUGCUAGAGUGCAGGAGGGGUUAACGGAACUUCCGUGGAGGGGUAAAAUCCAACGAUACGGACGGGAACACCGAUAACAGCGAAGGCAGUUAACUAUUCUGCUACUGACAUUGAGGCACGAAAGCGUGGGGAGCAAAACGG